Molecule: ribosomal RNA, 1350 nt
Filed under: metagenome
Description: bacterial LSU rRNA
Rfam family: Bacterial large subunit ribosomal RNA
Source: RNAcentral
UGAGUACGAGCUGCUACGGCAGCGAAGUGGGUGACGUCAAGCUUCCAAGAAAAGCCCUACACCCGUUAAGGCAUGAUGGCCUGUACCCGAAACCGACACAGGUGGGGUGGUAGAGAAUACCGAGGGGCGCGAGGUAACUCUCUCUAAGGAACUCGGCAAAAUGGCCCCGUAACUUCGGGAGAAGGGGUGCCACCGCAAGGUGGUCGCAGUGAAGAGGCCCAGGCGACUGUUUACCAAAAACACAGGUCUCCGCUAAGUCGCAAGACGAUGUAUGGGGGCUGACGCCUGCCCAGUGCCGGAAGGUUAAGGAAGCUGGUCAGCGCAAGCGAAGCUGGCGACUGAAGCCCCGGUGAACGGCGGCCGUAACUAUAACGGUCCUAAGGUAGCGAAAUUCCUUGUCGGGUAAGUUCCGACCCGCACGAAAGGCGUAACGAUCUGGGCGCUGUCUCGGAGAGAGGCUCGGCGAAAUAGAAUUGUCUGUGAAGAUGCGGACUACGUGCACCCGGACAGAAAGACCCUAUGAAGCUUUACUGUAGCUUGGUAUUGUGCCCGGGCUCUGAAUGCGCAGGAUAGGUGGGAGGCUUUGAUCCAUUGCUUGUGGGUGAUGGUGAGCCAACGGUGAGAUACCACUCUUUCAGAGCUAGGGUUCUAACGGUCACCCGUUAUCCGGGGACCGGACAGUAUCAGGUGGGCAGUUUGACUGGGGCGGUCGCCUCCUAAAAGGUAACCGAGGCGCGCAAAGGUUCCCUCAGGCUGGUUGGAAAUCAGCCGAUGAGUGUAAAGGCAGAAGGGAGCUUGACUGUGAGACCUACAAGUCGAACAGGGACGAAAGUCGGCCUUAGUGAUCCGACGGUUCUGAGUGGAAGGGCCGUCGCUCAACGGAUAAAAGUUACUCUAAGGAUAACAGGCUGAUCUCCCCCAAGAGUUCACAUCGACGGGGAGGUUUGGCACCUCGAUGUCGGCUCAUCGCAACCUGGGGCUGAAGUCGGUCCCAAGGGUUGGGCUGUUCGCCCAUUAAAGCGGUACGCGAGCUGGGUUCAGAACGUCGUGAGACAGUUCGGUCCAUAUCCGGUGCAUGCGCAGGAAUAUUGAGAGGAUUUCUCCCUAGUACGAGAGGACCGGGAGGAACGCACCUCUGGUGUACCAGUUAUCGUGCCAACGGUAAACGCUGGGUAGCCAUGUGCGGAGUGGAUAACCGCUGAAAGCAUCUAAGUGGGAAGCCCACCUCAAGAUGAGUAUUCCCAUGGCGUUAGCCAGUAAGGUCACGGGCAGAACACCCGUUGAUAGGCUCUACGUGGAAGCCGGGUAACCGGUGAAGCGGAGGAGUACUAAUAGACCGAGGGCUUGACC